Molecule: ribosomal RNA, 492 nt
Filed under: uncultured bacterium
Lineage: Bacteria
Description: partial 16S ribosomal RNA
Rfam family: Bacterial small subunit ribosomal RNA
Source: RNAcentral
AUUGAACGCUGGCGGCAUGCUUUACACAUGCAAGUCGAACGGUAACAGGUUAAGCUGACGAGUGGCGAACGGGUGAGUAAUGCAUCGGAACGUGCCCGAUCGUGGGGAUAACGCAGCGAAAGCUGCGCUAAUACCGCAUACGAUCUGAGGAUGAAAGCGGGGGACCGUAAGGCCUCGCGCGAUCGGAGCGGCCGAUGUCAGAUUAGGUAGUUGGUGGGGUAAAGGCUCACCAAGCCGACGAUCUGUAGCUGGUCUGAGAGGACGACCAGCCACACUGGGACUGAGACACGGCCCAGACUCCUACGGGAGGCAGCAGUGGGGAAUUUUGGACAAUGGGCGCAAGCCUGAUCCAGCAAUGCCGCGUGCAGGAAGAAGGCCUUCGGGUUGUAAACUGCUUUUGUACGGAACGAAAAGGUUUGGCCUAAUAAGCUGAGCUCAUGACGGUACCGUAAGAAUAAGCACCGGCUAACUACGUGCCAGCAGCCGCAGUAA